Molecule: transfer RNA, 69 nt
Filed under: Scuticaria tigrina (spotted snake moray)
Lineage: Eukaryota; Metazoa; Chordata; Actinopteri; Anguilliformes; Muraenidae
Description: tRNA-Arg
Rfam family: tRNA
About the family: Transfer RNA (tRNA) molecules are approximately 80 nucleotides in length.
Source: RNAcentral
GACGAUUAGUCUAAGUGAAAGACCGCUGAUUUCGGCUCAGCAAAACGUGGUUCAAGCCCACGAUCGUCC